UACAGAGGGGGCUAGCGUUAUUCGGAAUUAUUGGGCGUAAAGGGCGCGUAGGCGGCCAUGCGUGUCUUCCGUGAAAUCCCUCGGCUUAACUGAGGACGUGCGGAAGAAACUGCAAGGCUUGAGUCCGGGAGAGGGGGGUGGAAUUCCCAGUGUAGCGGUGGAAUGCGUAGAUAUCGGGAGGAACACCAGUGGCGAAGGCGGUUGCCUGGAGCUUUGCUGACGCUGAGGCGCGAAAGCGUGGGGAGCGAUCCGG
RNAcentral lists this ribosomal RNA (253 nucleotides) under uncultured bacterium. Its description in RNAcentral is "partial 16S ribosomal RNA". It matches the Rfam family "Bacterial small subunit ribosomal RNA", at positions 524 to 776 of the family's 1533-position model. The record is from RNAcentral.